CCGAAAGGCCUGCGCCAGCGAUGGCCGCUUGCGAGGUGCUGCAUGGUUGUCGUCAGCUCGUGCCGUGAGGUGUCGGGUUAAGUCCCAUAACGAGCGCAACCCCUACUGCUAGUUGCCAGCGGGUCAUGCCGGGGACUCUAGCGGAACUGCCAGCGUAAGCUGCGAGGAAGGUGGGGAUGACGUCAAAUCAGCACGGCCCUUACGUCCAGGGCUACACACGUGUUACAAUGGCCGGUACAGAGGGCAGCCACCCCGCGAGGGGGCGCGAAUCCCGAAAGCCGGUCCCAGUUCGGAUCGGAGUCUGCAACCCGACUCCGUGAAGCUGGAUUCGCUAGUAAUCGCGCAAUCAGCCACGGCGCGGUGAAUACGUUCCGGGCCUU
This 380-nucleotide ribosomal RNA is filed under the name uncultured Rikenellaceae bacterium. RNAcentral describes it as "bacterial SSU rRNA". It matches the Rfam family "Bacterial small subunit ribosomal RNA", at positions 1001 to 1382 of the family's 1533-position model. The record is from RNAcentral. Lineage: Bacteria; Pseudomonadati; Bacteroidota; Bacteroidia; Bacteroidales; Rikenellaceae.